GAUCCUGGCUCAGGAUGAACGCUAGCUACAGGCUUAACACAUGCAAGUCGAGGGGCAGCAUGGUCUUAGCUUGCUAAGGCUGAUGGCGACCGGCGCACGGGUGAGUAACACGUAUCCAACCUGCCGUCUACUCUUGGCCAGCCUUCUGAAAGGAAGAUUAAUCCAGGAUGGGAUCAUGAGUUCACAUGUCCGCAUGUAAGUAUUCGU
Molecule: ribosomal RNA, 207 nt
Filed under: uncultured bacterium
Lineage: Bacteria
Description: partial 16S ribosomal RNA
Rfam family: Bacterial small subunit ribosomal RNA
Source: RNAcentral